GUCUAUGUAUUAUUGUAACAUUAUUCAUAAUAAUAUCACAAUAAUCUUCCUUUAUUAAUGAAUGAUGAUCAUCUUUGGCCAAAAGGCCAACAAAGAUUACAUUCAUCAUAAAUAAUGGACAAUAGUAACAAUUACUCUAAAUGAUAAUAUUUGAAAAUAAGCUCUACAAUUCUUAAUGUUAGUAUUGGAAUAAGACUUCCAUCCGUAACAUUCAAAAAUUUCUCACUAUUUUCAAACAUUCUGCUUACUUAUAGUCCUAACAAUAAAUUGCAUAAGACCAUCAGUANNNNNNNNNNNNNNNNNNNNAUCACUGUCUAAUAGCGAUUGGAGCAAUUAAGGUUUAGCCUUAUUUUGAGAAAAGAGAACAAUGACCUAAUGUAUAUGAAUUAUUUUAAGCUUAGAGACUUGGACUUUAGUCUCAAGGUUCUCCCACUAUUUUGUUCAAAUUGGUAGCCUCUACCUCUAAUUUGAAAAAUUACUUUAAUUUUCUAGUAGGUACUAGAAUCCACAUAGACUACAGAUAAGUCAGACUUUGGUCGGCCAACCCAUCUGCAUCUACGGGUAGGUUUAUUAACUAAUUAUUUCUCCAAACAACUUCUAGUAAUUUAAUUUUAUCCCAGAAACCUAAUCAGUAGGCUUUGGCCUCCACUGUAAGGAUCCGAUUAGGUCCAACCUUUAACAUGACCAUACUUGGUGCAUCUAACCAACGAAUGAUUAAGUCCAACUUUGAUUGGCUAACCUAACCACCAUUAGAGAGACACUUCCAAGUCAUCAUAUGAUGAGUGAUAAUUCCAUUAGUCAACAAGCACCAGGCCUUUGGGUCUGCAAUGAUUAUUGAGUUAAUGGACUCAUUAUCAAACAUCUUAAUGGGAGGCUAUGACUCAGUUAUCUCCAUAACUUUAUCAUUUUAAGGACCUAAUAAUUUUAAAAGAUUUAAAAUUAUUAGUAAUUUAAGGAUAGAAAGGAUAUGGACCAAUUUGCUCCCACUGACUUCAUCAAGUCAAGUCCUCCCACUGACUCCUCA
Molecule: long non-coding RNA, 1024 nt
Filed under: Elaeis guineensis (African oil palm)
Lineage: Eukaryota; Viridiplantae; Streptophyta; Magnoliopsida; Arecales; Arecaceae
Description: long non-coding RNA (EGUI_LNC046433)
Source: RNAcentral